This 399-nucleotide ribosomal RNA is filed under the name uncultured bacterium. RNAcentral describes it as "bacterial SSU rRNA". It matches the Rfam family "Bacterial small subunit ribosomal RNA", at positions 30 to 429 of the family's 1533-position model. The record is from RNAcentral.
AUUGAACGCUGGCGGCAUGCUUUACACAUGCAAGUCGAACGGCAGCGCGGGCUUCGGCCUGGCGGCGAGUGGCGAACGGGUGAGUAAUAUAUCGGAACGUACCCAAGAGUGGGGGAUAACGUAGCGAAAGUUACGCUAAUACCGCAUACGAUCUAAGGAUGAAAGCAGGGGAUCGCAAGACCUUGUGCUCCUGGAGCGGCCGAUAUCUGAUUAGCUAGUUGGUGGGGUAAAGGCCCACCAAGGCAACGAUCAGUAGCUGGUCUGAGAGGACGACCAGCCACACUGGAACUGAGACACGGUCCAGACUCCUACGGGAGGCAGCAGUGGGGAAUUUUGGACAAUGGGCGCAAGCCUGAUCCAGCAAUGCCGCGUGAGUGAAGAAGGCCUUCGGGUUGUAAG